GUUCUCAAGGACCAGGAUUGGGAACCACUGAGCUAGCUUGUAAUCAGUUUUGUUUAACAGGCAACACAUGCAAUUAAUUGUGCAACAUGGUUCAGUUUUGACUUCACCGGCAUUCAUGUAUCAUUUGAUUUCAUACAGGACCUUAGACCCGUUUCUUGGAAUUGGUUUGGCUUUAUCCUGACAUUGUUUUGAAAUACCUUUUAAUGAAGCAUAUCCAAUUGUAGUGUUGGCAGCGUCUUGCUCUGUUUGGAUAAUAUCUCCUCUCAAAGUUUGGAAGCAGAGGCCCUGGUACAGUUAAAAGGAAUCUCAAUCUUUUGAACCCUAGUUUAGUGUACUCAUAUAGGAAUUGAGAGGCUUUAUGUGGUGGCCUAUGGUAAUGUUUCACAGCUGUGUGUCAUUUUUGAAGAUCCAGAACACAACACUCAGUCAUGGUAGGGGGCACUUAAUUGUUCUUUGUUUCAACUUAAAAUGCUUAGAUUAUCAAUUCGGUCAAUAUGUUUCUAAUGGAUGUUUCGGUGUCUGUGAAAAUGUAUGCAUGCUACAAUCUGUGGAGAAUGACUAAGCACAGAGAAGAUGGAAACCCACUGGGUUCUGCCUCAGCAUGGAUCCCUUCAAGGAUGCAAUGGCUUACCACCACCAAAGUAGUUCUAAAUAAAUGUGUUUACUAUUCAAGGGGCUUGUGGUUUUUGAUUGGUUAUCAAAAAGUAAAAUUGAACUAUUCUAAACAUGUUUAACAUGAAUGAGUUUAUUAUUCUGUCAAUAUCUCAAUGUUUUACAACUUUUUUUCUUUUACAACAAAUUGAUUUCUGCACUUAGUUAUAUGAAGUAGCAAUGUGUGAACAUAAAUGUGUGUGCUUGUGUGUAAAUAUCUCUUCCCAGUGAGUGGCUGUUAAACGCUGAGCUCACAGGGAUUACAUGGUGACUGUGAACACUGCUCUGGCAGGAAGUUCCCACUGCUUUCAGUAUCAGGGCGGAAAAUGCAUGUUUGUCAGAGAUCCUAAACCUGGCAUUGAUUUCCGUGCCAUGUCAUUCUUCAGCCCUGGCUCCAGCUCAGCCAUUUUAUCUAUAUCCUCUCUUCGCAAUCUAUAAUCACACAGAUUAGGAGACAAGCAAUUGCCAAAGGAGUCUGAUUUGUUAUAUG
Cyprinus carpio carpio is the source of this 1141-nucleotide long non-coding RNA. Lineage: Eukaryota; Metazoa; Chordata; Actinopteri; Cypriniformes; Cyprinidae. The record is from Ensembl.